AGUUUGAUCCUGGCUCAGGAUGAACGCUGGCGGCGCGCCUAACACAUGCAAGUCGAACGGCCCCCCCUCCGGGUGUGAGAGGGUGGGCAACCGGUUGAAUACCGGUGGGAGACUCGCCUCCUCCCCCGGGGAUACCCCCCAGAAAAGCGGGGUAACCCGGAACCCCGGGGUGCCCGCAUGGCCCCCCGGAAAAAAGCCCCGCAGAAGGGGAGGUUCCCGCGCCCAUCAGGUAGACGGCGGGGGGACGGCCCACCGGCCCGACAACGGGUACCCGGGUUGAGAGCCCGACCGGCCAGAUUGGGACUGAGACACGGCCCAGACUCCUACGGGAGGCAGCAGUGGGGAAUCUUGCGCAAUGGGGGGAACCCUGACGCAGCGACGCCGCGUGCGGGACGGAGGCCUUCGGGUCGUAAACCGCUUUCAGCAGGGAAGAGUCAAGACUGUACCUGCAGAAGAAGCCCCGGCUAACUACGUGCCAGCAGCCGCGGUAAUACGUAGGGGGCGAGCGUUAUCCGGAUUCAUUGGGCGUAAAGCGCGCGUAGGCGGCCCGGCAGGCCGGGGGUCGAAGCGGGGGGCUCAACCCCCCGAAGCCCCCGGAACCUCCGCGGCUUGGGUCCGGUAGGGGAGGGUGGAACACCCGGUGUAGCGGUGGAAUGCGCAGAUAUCGGGUGGAACACCGGUGGCGAAGGCGGCCCUCUGGGCCGAGACCGACGCUGAGGCGCGAAAGCUGGGGGAGCGAACAGGAUUAGAUACCCUGGUAGUCCCAGCCGUAAACGAUGGACGCUAGGUGUGGGGGGACGAUCCCCCCGUGCCGCAGCCAACGCAUUAAGCGUCCCGCCUGGGGAGUACGGCCGCAAGGCUAAAACUCAAAGGAAUUGACGGGGGCCCGCACAAGCAGCGGAGCAUGUGGCUUAAUUCGAAGCAACGCGAAGAACCUUACCAGGGCUUGACAUAUGGGUGAAGCGGGGGAGACCCCGUGGCCGAGAGGAGCCCAUACAGGUGGUGCAUGGCUGUCGUCAGCUCGUGUCGUGAGAUGUUGGGUUAAGUCCCGCAACGAGCGCAACCCCCGCCGCGUGUUGCCAUCGGGUGAUGCCGGGAACCCACGCGGGACCGCCGCCGUCAAGGCGGAGGAGGGCGGGGACGACGUCAAGUCAUCAUGCCCCUUAUGCCCUGGGCUGCACACGUGCUACAAUGGCCGGUACAGAGGGAUGCCACCCCGCGAGGGGGAGCGGAUCCCGGAAAGCCGGCCCCAGUUCGGAUUGGGGGCUGCAACCCGCCCCCAUGAAGUCGGAGUUGCUAGUAAUCGCGGAUCAGCAUGCCGCGGUGAAUGCGUUCCCGGGCCUUGCACACACCGCCCGUC
Molecule: ribosomal RNA, 1360 nt
Filed under: uncultured bacterium
Lineage: Bacteria
Description: partial 16S ribosomal RNA
Rfam family: Bacterial small subunit ribosomal RNA
Source: RNAcentral